This 73-nucleotide transfer RNA is filed under the name Ovis aries (sheep). It matches the Rfam family "tRNA". Rfam says of the family: Transfer RNA (tRNA) molecules are approximately 80 nucleotides in length. Their secondary structure includes four short double-helical elements and three loops (D, anti-codon, and T loops). The record is from Rfam by way of RNAcentral. Lineage: Eukaryota; Metazoa; Chordata; Mammalia; Artiodactyla; Bovidae.
UCCCUGGUGGCUCAGAUGGUAAAGAAUCUGCUUCUAAUGCAGGAGAUGUGGGUUCAGUCUCCUUUCCGGAGAA